ACGCUGGCGGCAGGCCUAACACAUGCAAGUCGAGCGCACCUUCGGGUGAGCGGCGGACGGGUUAGUAACGCGUGGGAAUAUACCCAGUUCUAAGGAAUAGCCUCUGGAAACGGAGAGUAAUACCUUAUACGCCCCCCGAGGUAAAAUUUGGGGGGGAAAGAUUUAUCGGAAUUGGAUUAGCCCGCGUUAGAUUAGAUAGUUGGUGGGGUAAUGGCCUACCAAGUCUACCAUCUAUAGCUGGUUUGAGAGGAUGAUCAGCAACACUGGGACUGAGACACGGCCCAAACUCCUACGGGAGGCAGCAGUGGGGAAUCUUGGACAAUGGGCGCAAGCCUGAUCCAGCCAUGCCGCGUGAGUGAUGAAGGCCCUAGGGUCGUAAAACUCUUUCGCCAGGGAUGAUAAUGACAGUACCUGGUAAAGAAACCCCGGCUAACUCCGUGCCAGCAGCCGCGGUAAUACGGAGGGGGUUAGCGUUGUUCGGAAUUACUGGGCGUAAAGCGUACGUAGGCGGAUUARUAAGUAAGGGGUGAAAUCCCAGGGCUCAACCCUGGAACUGCCUYUUAAACUGCUAGUCUAGAGAUCGAGAGAGGUGAGUGGAAUUCCUAGUGUAGAGGUGAAAUUCGUAGAUAUUAGGAGGAACACCAGUGGCGAAGGCGGCUCACUGGCUCGAUACUGACGCUGAGGUAAGAAAGUGUGGGGAGCAAACAGGAUUAGAUACCCUGGUAGUCCACACCGUAAACGAUGAAUGCCAGUCGUCGGGUAGCAUGCUAUUCGGUGACACACCUAACGGAUUAAGCAUUCCGCCUGGG
This 809-nucleotide ribosomal RNA is filed under the name uncultured bacterium. RNAcentral's name for it is "bacterial SSU rRNA". It matches the Rfam family "Bacterial small subunit ribosomal RNA", at positions 33 to 877 of the family's 1533-position model. The record is from RNAcentral.